AAGGCGGAAUUCUUUAAAAUUCUUUCUACGGAGGAAACAGGCGCGGCUCGAUGCCAGCGAUGGGAGGAAGCGACCUCAAAGGGCUGAAGGGAAAAUGCUCAGAUCUACGCCCUGCAGAUUCAUCACCGAAAGACAGACUGAGACCCACGAAGUCCGUGAAGGCGGGUCACACGCACACAGGCUCCUCUGAGAAACCGGCCGGGGCGGGUGCUCCGCAGAAAGAGAAGGGUCAGCAGUUGGGCCCAACCCCCGGGACGUCCCUGGGCGGGACGGUCACUGACCACGCGGCUCAGCAGUAACAAACCCAACCAGGGUCCAUGAGGACGCAGGUUCAACCCCUCGCCGCGCUCCAUGGCUCAGGAUCUGGUCUUGCCGUGAGCUGAGGUGUAGGUCGCAGACGCAGCUCGGAUCCCGCGUUGCUGUGGUGUAGGCCAGCAGCUGUAGCUCUAAUUCGACCCCUAGCCUGGAAACGUCCAUGUGUCCUGGGUGCAGCCCCAAAAGGCAAAAGAAAAUAGAAAGAAAGAAAUUCACCGUUUACUGAAUCAUCGCGCCCUCUGCAGACACGCAUGUCUCGAGCGACCUAGAACUAAAUUCUAGGCUGUUCGAUUUCCCGAGGCAGCUGGGGUGCGCGCGUUGUUUGGAGGUGGGAGACAGGGUUCAUGUCACCUCAUUAAACUCUUGAAAAAUACAAAGGCUUUGUAGGGAGGAGCAGCCACAGGAGGAAAAGCGCUGACUGUAUAUACAACCUCCAGGGUCGGCUGGCUGGAUCCAGUUGUCCUCUCUGGAAGGGGCUGAAACCCGUGUAAACAGAAAAGUCAGAGAGACGGAACACGUCCCAAGCGGCGAUAAUCACAGGGGCGUUUGACUCUUCAAAGGGCUGCCGGAGAUGACAAGACACAGCUUCCAGCUUCUGGCCAUGAUGCAGUAACCCUCCAGGACCCCAGACCAUUCCAAGCUGGCAGGUAGAUGAGGAAACGGGUUUUAUACAUUUCAAUGGGGAAGGGUUAGUGUUUUCAACAAGAGGUGCCCCAGGGCGUCCAAAUGCCACCAGACACAAACGAAACGCAGUCAAUACAGAGAGAAAGGGGAAGAACGCCCCCGAGACCGCAGACAGUGGCCCGAGUCAGGGCGACUGGACAGAGGCCCGCGCGGGGGACAGGGACACAGACCUGCUUUCGUUUAUUCAGACGGAGGACACGACUCCACAGCUAACGACACAACUAUUCGCAGAUGAGACAAGGUCACAGAGGGGCUCGGCCACAUGGCACCCCCGAGGGGAGGGAGGGCGGGGCUGCACACGGGUUGUCCGCUCACACCAGGGCAGGGACGGGCAUUGCCAGCCCAGGCGAGGGUCAGAGCCAGCGCUGCCCCGGGGCACAAGCUGGAAGGGGCCGGGAGGGGGCUCCAGGGACGGGGCCUUGGGGCCAAAUUUAGUAAAACCCACUGAUCUGAGGGCUUAAGACCAGGGAUUUUGCCAGAGGUACAUUUACCUCCAUCGAUAACCCCCCUGGGGACAAACACCCCCAAGGGCCGGGGGGUGGCUCUGGAGGGGACGUGAGAGCUGCGCCCCGCGUGCGGUUUCCCGACUCGUGUCUGAGUCUCAAAGGAGGAGAAGCAGAAACAAGAAGGGGCUCCGGUCUCUCCCGACCCAGAAAAGAGCGUGUGUGGCUGGGCCGCCCCACGUCCGCGCUGGAUCCACUUACAUAAGGCGGAUUGAGGCGCUUACGUGCGGAACCUGCUGCCUCCUCGGGCCGGUGGCCACCCGGUCCUGGGUCCUGCUGAACUGGCUGCCUGGGCUUGUGCCCGGUGCCUGGAUCCGGCCCCAGGGACCCCCGGGGAGGCGAGCGCCGACCAAAGCUGGGCAGACCAGGCCCUAAAUGUGCUGGGGCUGCUCCUGCUUCCCAGGCGGCUGGGGGGGGCUACGACCCCCCCCAUACACCCCACUCCGCUGCCCCAGCUUUGCCGCCCGGCUGGCCCUUGGCAGCCAGUGUUCAGUUCACCAGGAGCUCAGUCUGAACUUCACUGAAUUAUUCAUUCUGUUCCCCCAAGUACGCGGGGGCGGGGGGGGGACGCGGGGCUCCAACCUGCCAGCCACACCCCGAGACCCUGGGAUCUGAGAGGCGAGAGGCGGGAGUGUGACCAUCAUAGGGGGGGAGUCCCCUCCCCCUGAGGGGGAGGGCAGGGGCCCUCCAACCGGAUGGCAUUCCUGGGGGAGUGGCCACCAGGUCCUGCUCACCCCCUCCCCCGGGGCACCUGGAGCCUGAGGGUUCCGAGGAAUCAGGACAGCUGGGGCAGCGCCACCCUUGACCCGCAUCCAGGGCCGAGUCUUCCCAGGGUCACAGGGACACGGCAGAUGCCGCCUGGUGCUCAGCCUUGAUGGGGGACACUGGGCCCCAGGACCUCUCUCCCACCUCCUGGCAGGGCAGCCCUGUGUGGUGUGGGCAGAGGCUCCUGGGCUGUGUGGGAGCCCCCCCAGGGACCACACCCCACAGGGUCCUGAGUCAGAGGAUGAGAUGUCCUCAGGGACGGGGUUCAUUGUGGCGCCCACGUCAGAGAGGCCCUUCCCGUGUCUGUGCCCAGAGGAGCCCCCAGGCUGGGCGCAGAGGGGAGCCCCCCAGGCUGGGCGCAGAGGGGAGCCCCCCAGGCUGGGAGCAGAGGGGAGCCCCCCAGGCUGGGAGCAGAGGGGAGCCCCCCAGGCUGGGAGCAGAGGGGAGCCCCCCAGGCUGGGAGCAGAGGGGACCCCCCAGGCGGGGAGCAGAGGGGAGCCCCCAGGCGGGGAGCAGAGGGGAGCCCCCCAGGCUGGGAGCAGAGGGGAGCCCCCAGGCGGGGAGCAGAGGGGAGCCCCCCAGGCUGGGAGCAGAGGGGAGCCCCCCAGGCUGGGAGCAGAGGGGAGCCCCCAGGCUGGGAGCAGAGGGGAGCCCCCAGGCGGGGCGCAGAGGGGAGCCCCCCAGGCGGGGUGUCCUGGAGAAUUGACAAGGAACCCGGACCAGGCCCCUCGCCAAGGAUCAGGGCCCACGGGGGCCUGGGGGGUGUCACCAGGGCCCUGACAAGUGCUUGCCCGAGACCCCCAGCACCCCUGGAAGGGGGACUUCUAGACUCCCCAGCGCCCGCGGCCCCUCCCCCACGGGACCUGCCCCCUGAUUCUCCUCCAGGCAGGACCAGACCCAGCAACUCCACCCCAAGGCCCCAUGGGCACGAGACCUGGCUUUUCACUCAUUUGCCCAGAAGGACCGAAAUAAAUGCCCUGCUUGGAUCUGCUGGCAAAUGACUCUCCUCUGGGGUCAGAGAGCAGGUCCAAGGACCCAAGAUGCCCACGCGCGGGGAGGUGGGGGGCGGCCAGGCCGGGCUCAGUGCCUGGGCCUCGAGGACCCAGGUGGGGGGCGCUU
This 3386-nucleotide long non-coding RNA is filed under the name Sus scrofa (pig). Its description in RNAcentral is "lncRNA (ENSSSCG00055010155.1)". The record is from RNAcentral. Lineage: Eukaryota; Metazoa; Chordata; Mammalia; Artiodactyla; Suidae.